CAGUGGUUUCAACGCCGAGUAGUAAGUCAUGAGGACAAAGCAAGGAGAGUGAUAUAUUGGUAUUAUAUCCAGGAAAUAUAAAGGCUAAACAAAAUAAUUCCACUCUCAACCUCACUGAAUUUUGUAGCUUAAUUCACCCUGGACCUUUUGCGGCAAAAUAUAUUUAUGGACGAUAUUCCCUGUGGUUUUGCCCCAAGCCCAGAAUGAGCUAAUGAUAAACGCAAUUAAGUGGAAAUUGUUUUUGAAUCUAAAUGAACUUCAAUAAUCUAACUAGCUGGUAAGGGAAUCAUAAGCUAAAGAAGAUAGUUGCCUUGCAUGUAGGCAGAAGCAAUUCAGCAAGAAAUUCAAACUAAGUCUGUCAGAUUUUACCAAUGCCAAUCCUACCCAACAGCAGCCCACCGUACCAGCGUUAA
This is a non-coding RNA of Callorhinus ursinus (northern fur seal), 413 nucleotides long. The record is from RefSeq and is a predicted model, not a curated record. Lineage: Eukaryota; Metazoa; Chordata; Mammalia; Carnivora; Otariidae.